Plectropomus leopardus (leopard coralgrouper) is the source of this 720-nucleotide long non-coding RNA. RefSeq lists it as uncharacterized. NCBI's taxonomy places the organism in Eukaryota, Metazoa, Chordata, Actinopteri, Perciformes, Serranidae. The record is from RefSeq and is a predicted model, not a curated record.
GGUGUCCCACACUGAUGAGCAAUCCCAGUUCAGUGUGAUUUGAACUUCAGCUCACUGUGAAGUUUAAGCCAGCGGGUAAACUCACUCCUCAACUUCAGCACUACUGCAAAGCAGCCUUCUGUUAGAGCAGUCACACAAGAGCUAAUUCAUUUCACCCAGAACACCAAGUAACCUGCAAGUGGAGAUGACAGACCUCAAGAAAGCUCCUGAGCCCAGCAGAGAAGCAGUGAAGUAGCCGGCUGCUGCAGAAGGACCCCAGCAGCACCUCAGCUGACCUGCAGCACAUCACUCACUCAGGACAAGGACAACCAGGAGGUGUUGAAGAAACAGACCAGGUGCUUCUGUUGAGAUGUUGGAGAUCAGAGAUGGAGAUCCAACAGUCUUCACUUUGGCUGACGUCCUGGUCCAUCCCUGUGGCCCAUGGUGCAGUGCUGCAUCUCUGGUCAGUUGGUAGUCUGAGAUGAAGCACUGUAGCUCGGGACACAGGACACAAAUACCCAUCUGGGGACAGCCAGGGGACAACGUCCAGGGCUGCUUCACACAGGCAGUGUGAGUUGAAACAGGAAGUCACAGGACAGGAGGACACUGUCAGAGAAACACUAUGAUGUAUGUCAAUAAAGUUUGCUCAUUUUUCAAUUCAGAGGGAAAUUGCUUCUGUGUAACAUUUUUUGAAAAAAAACAUAGGAGAAAAAAUAAAAUAAAAGUAGUCACAAAAUGAGG